AACCGAUACAACAGAAGAGUAUCAGUUUGUGCUGCGGCUUUAAAUCCAUACCAAGAAAAAUAACAAUACAGACUCUUUCAAGGCCCUGUAUUUGGAAUGAGCACAUUUUAAAUCCUUGAGAGAGGAGCCAAUGGAGUGCAAGUCUGGUGCCAGCAGCUGUAGAAAUUCCAGCUCUAAUAGCCUAUAUUAAAGUUACUGCAGUUAAAAAGCUUGUAUUUGGAUGUUGGGAGCGAGCUGGCCAUCAGCCGCGAGGUGAGCCCCAGCCCCUGCCUCUCGGCACCCCCUCGAUGUUCUUAGCUGAGUGUCCUGUGGGGUCCAAAGCGUUCACUUUGAGAAAAUUAGAGGGUUCAGAGCAGGCUGGCCACUGGCAUACUGCAACUAGGAAUAAUGGAACAGGACCAGGAGGCAGCUGGCAAAGGCCACAGGGUGGUCAGCUUCGAUGGGGAGCCCAUGCAGACCAAGUCCAAGAGCAAAGAGGAGCCUGACCCUGGCGAUGAGGACUCUGACGUUGAGCCUCCAGCCAUUAACCGAUACAACAGAAAAGUAUCAGUU
This 552-nucleotide non-coding RNA is filed under the name Patagioenas fasciata monilis. Its description in RNAcentral is "Eukaryotic small subunit ribosomal RNA". It matches the Rfam family "Eukaryotic small subunit ribosomal RNA", at positions 57 to 870 of the family's 1831-position model. The record is from Rfam by way of RNAcentral. Lineage: Eukaryota; Metazoa; Chordata; Aves; Columbiformes; Columbidae.